CCAAAAAUUUUCUUCUUACAUGCCCCAUUCUUCUCCUCCUUUUAUAAUAACGUCAAACAUCUUAUCCAAAAGAAAAGACAAAGAUGAGUAUUUGUAUAUUUGAAUUCAAAUCAAAUUUUGAAUUCAAAUGGACACCAACUCAUCCCUUAUCCACUAAAGGUGUGAGGCAUGGCUUAAAUUAUGCAUGGAGUGAUUUCAUGAAAAAUCUUUUCUCAUGUAAUAAA
Molecule: long non-coding RNA, 224 nt
Filed under: Elaeis guineensis (African oil palm)
Lineage: Eukaryota; Viridiplantae; Streptophyta; Magnoliopsida; Arecales; Arecaceae
Description: long non-coding RNA (EGUI_LNC061195)
Source: RNAcentral